Molecule: ribosomal RNA, 497 nt
Filed under: uncultured bacterium
Lineage: Bacteria
Description: partial 16S ribosomal RNA
Rfam family: Bacterial small subunit ribosomal RNA
Source: RNAcentral
GAUGAACGCUGGCGGCGUGCCUAAUACAUGCAAGUCGAGCGAACGGACGAGAAGCUUGCUUCUCUGAUGUUAGCGGCGGACGGGUGAGUAACACGUGGAUAACCUACCUAUAAGACUGGGAUAACUUCGGGAAACCGGAGCUAAUACCGGAUAAUAUUUUGAUCCGCAUGGUUCAAAAGUGAAAGACGGUCUUGCUGUCACUUAUAGAUGGAUCCGCGUUGCAUUAGCUAGUUGGUAAGGUAACGGCUUACCAAGGCAACGAUGCAUAGCCGACCUGAGAGGGUGAUCGGCCACACUGGAACUGAGACACGGUCCAGACUCCUACGGGAGGCAGCAGUAGGGAAUCUUCCGCAAUGGGCGAAAGCCUGACCGAGCAACGCCGCGUGAGUGAUGAAGGUCUUCGGAUCGUAAAACUCUGUUAUUAGGGAAGAACAUAUGUGUAAGUAACUGUGCACAUCUUGACGGUACCUAAUCAGAAAGCCACGGCUAACUACGUG